Molecule: small RNA, 78 nt
Filed under: Flavobacterium aquidurense
Lineage: Bacteria; Pseudomonadati; Bacteroidota; Flavobacteriia; Flavobacteriales; Flavobacteriaceae
Description: Flavo-1 RNA
Rfam family: Flavo-1 RNA
Source: RNAcentral
CAUUAGCCCCGAUAGCAGUGGAAAUCCUUUUGUGCCGGGGUUCGGCGCAAAAGAUUGUAACGGAUAGCGGGAAAAAGC